UCGUCCGCUACGGGUCGCGGUUGGGGGCGGCCGGGUCGUCAGGGGCGACACGGCUCCCUCUCCUCCUCCUCCCCCCUCCUGGCCCCCGCUUCCUCCUCCUCCUCCUCCUCCUCCUCUCCCUCAGAGGUUCGGCCCAAAAUGGCGGCUCUGAGCGGCGGCGCUGCUGCUGCUGCUGCUGCAACUCCUGCUGCUGAAGGGGCCUCGCUCUUCAACGGCGACAUGGAGCCCGAGCCGCCUCCGCCCGGGGCCUGCUACGCCGCCGGAGGAGACUCCGCCAUCCCCGAGGAGGUAUGGAACAUCAAACAGAUGAUUAAAUUAACGCAGGAACACAUAGAGGCCCUGCUGGAUAAGUUUGGGGGAGAACACAAUCCACCGUCCAUAUACUUGGAGGCCUAUGAAGAAUACACCAGCAAAUUAGAUUCAUUGCAGCAGAGGGAGCAGCAGUUGUUGGAAUCCAUGGGGAAUGGAACUGAUUUCUCUGUCUCCAGUUCUGCUUCAACAGACACUGUUGCAUCGUCAUCAUCCUCUAGUCUCUCUGUAGCACCUUCAUCUCUCUCAGUUUAUCAGAGCCCUACAGAUUUGUCAAGGAAUAACCCUAAAUCUCCACAGAAGCCCACUGUUAGAGUCUUCCUACCCAAUAAACAGAGGACAGUGGUUCCAGCAAGAUGUGGGGUAACAGUCCGGGAGAGUUUAAAGAAAGCACUGAUGAUGCGAGGCCUAAUUCCGGAGUGUUGUGCUGUUUACCGAAUACAGGAUGGGGAGAAGAAGCCAAUUGGUUGGGACACGGACAUUUCUUGGCUGACAGGAGAAGAACUGCAUGUAGAAGUCUUGGAGAAUGUGCCUCUUACAACACACAACUUUGUGAGAAAGACUUUCUUCACUUUAGCAUUCUGCGACUUCUGUCGAAAGCUGCUUUUCCAGGGAUUCCGUUGUCAGACUUGUGGAUACAAAUUUCACCAGCGUUGUAGUACAGAGGUCCCACUGAUGUGUGUGAAUUAUGAUCAGCUUGAUUUGCUGUUUGUCUCCAAGUUCUUUGAACACCAUCCAAUAUCACAGGAAGAGGCCUCCUUAGGAGAUUCCACCACAGCAUCUGGGUCAUACGCUUCAGUGGUCCCCUCUGAUUUGGCUGGGCCACCAGUUCUCCCUAGUCCUUCUCCUUCAAAAUCCAUUCCAAUACCCCAGUCUUUCCGACAAGGAGAUGAAGACCAUCGAAAUCAGUUUGGUCAACGAGACCGCUCUUCAUCUGCACCCAAUGUGCACAUCAACACAAUAGAACCAGUCAACAUUGAUGACUUGAUUAGAGAUCAAGGGUUUCGAGGAGAGGGAGCCCCUAUGAACCAGCUGAUGCGCUGCCUUCGGAAAUACCAAUCCCGGACUCCCAGUCCCCUCCUCCAUUCUGUCCCCAGUGAGAUAGUGUUUGAUUUUGAGCCCGGCCCAGUGUUCAGAGGCUCAACCACUGGUUUGUCUGCUACACCACCUGCAUCGUUACCCGGCUCCCUCGCCAAUGUGAAAGCAUUACAGAAAUCACCUGGGCCUCAGCGAGAGAGGAAGUCCUCCUCAUCUUCAGAAGAUCGGACCAGGAUGAAAACUCUUGGUCGACGAGACUCAAGUGAUGACUGGGAGAUACCAGAUGGCCAAAUCACAGUUGGACAAAGAAUAGGAUCUGGAUCAUUUGGGACAGUCUUUAAGGGAAAAUGGCAUGGUGAUGUUGCGGUGAAGAUGUUGAAUGUUACAGCCCCUACUCCUCAGCAGCUGCAGGCCUUUAAAAAUGAAGUAGGAGUGCUCAGGAAAACACGACAUGUGAAUAUAUUACUUUUCAUGGGCUAUUCAACAAAGCCGCAGCUAGCUAUAGUUACGCAGUGGUGUGAGGGCUCCAGUCUUUACCACCAUCUACACAUCAUAGAGACCAAAUUUGAAAUGAUCAAGCUGAUUGACAUUGCACGGCAGACGGCACAAGGAAUGGAUUACUUGCAUGCCAAGUCUAUCAUCCACAGAGACCUCAAGAGUAAUAAUAUAUUUCUUCAUGAAGAUCUCACAGUAAAAAUAGGUGAUUUUGGUCUAGCAACAGUGAAAUCACGAUGGAGUGGGUCCCAUCAGUUUGAACAGUUGUCAGGAUCAAUUCUCUGGAUGGCACCAGAAGUAAUUAGGAUGCAAGAUAAAAAUCCCUACAGCUUUCAAUCAGAUGUGUAUGCAUUUGGGAUUGUUCUUUAUGAGCUGAUGACUGGGCAGUUACCAUAUUCUAACAUCAACAACAGAGACCAGAUAAUAUUUAUGGUGGGACGAGGAUACCUCUCUCCAGAUCUCAGCAAAGUAAGGAGUAAUUGUCCCAAAGCCAUGAAAAGGCUAAUGGCAGAAUGCUUGAAAAAGAAGAGGGAUGAACGACCCCUCUUCCCACAGAUCCUUGCCUCUAUUGAGCUUCUGGCCCGAUCGUUGCCAAAAAUUCACCGCAGUGCAUCUGAGCCCUCCUUGAACCGGGCUGGUUUCCAGACAGAGGAUUUUAGCCUGUAUGCUUGUGCUUCUCCAAAAACACCCAUCCAGGCAGGGGGAUACGGUGGGUUUUCUGUAAGCUGAACAGAAGUUGAAAGCAUGUACCUAUGUAUUUGGUUUGUGAACUUUUGUUGAUGUUUGAAUUCCCAACAUGUUAAUUUUCAUUUUGGGAAAGAUGCAUUGACUGAAAAAGGACUUAUCUGACACUGAGCCUCCUGUGUUCCUAGAAUGGCAUCUGUUGCUGGCAAUGGACUGCCUAGUAAUUGCUCAGUAGGAAAAGGGAAAAGUCAUCGAAAAUUAAUAUACACCCAUUUAUUUUUGGGUCAUAGGUCAAGCUUUUUUCUGAUAUCAUCUUUGCUUUAUAGGUUAUCGUACUUUGGUUUAUAAGUGGCUAGUAGAGUUUUACAUCCACAUCUAAAACUAUUUCCUUUUGUUUCCACAGUCUUUCUUAUAUGCUAGUAACAAUUUUAGAUGCACAAGUCAGCAGCGUUGCUGACACUGCGUAAAGGAUAAAGUAAAAGAUUAAGGCUGAGUGCAUCAGGUUUCCUUAAAUGAGCAGAGCAAGCUUCAGGCGAAUUUGCAGCGUUCAAGUAGCCACAGCAACAUUGGCAGCAAAUCCACUCUCUUAUUUUUAAAGUCUUGUGUUUCGAUAAUAUCCAGACUCUGUUCUGCCCCCUCCAAACAAAGCAAUUUAGACAAAAGAAAUCCAUAUACUUAAGAGCAGCACAGAAUGGAGCAACCAGUCCAUCUUUUGGUGGGAGGGAAAAUUAUUUUGUUGGAAACCUGACAUCUCUGCUGCCUCUGUGUUCACCUCCACCCUAUACACCAUGUGCAUUCGGAGACCCCCCUCCCCCAGUGGCUGCCUGUACCGUUGGCAUCAUUCCCAGGAGAGCAGAGGGCCUGCGCUUUGACUUUCUGGUGUUCUGGCAUGAUGAGAUUGGAACUCCUGCAUCAUGGGCUUGGGAUGGUCUGCUGGUUGGCUUUCUCCCUCUAACAACGAAUCAUCAGAGGCUGAACAUCUGAUGAGACAGAGCUAAUCAAAACAAUCAUCCUCUGGUCUGAUUUGACUGUGUGUAUGUGUAUGUGUGUGUGUUUUCCCUGAUGGGCUUUCUGAUCCAAGGGAUAAUUGCAGUAUCUCCUUUUCAACAAAAUUUGAAUGUUGGCUGUUACUUUUUAAUAAAAAAAACUCCCCCACAAACCUGCCAAAUUGGAGGAUAAAUGGGAAAAGGAAGUUUGGAAAAGGAUUAAUAUGCCAGAAAAGGAGAUGCUGCGCUUUCUGUUCCCAGAAUUGCUUUUAUCUAUUCAGAAUAAUUCUUUCCCCAUCUUUAAUUAUUGUGCUCUUUCUCCAAAAGAGGUGGGAGGCUCUUUUUGUCGGUCCAGCAACAAACUUUUUUUUUUUUUACAAAAUGGUAGCAGAGUUCUAAAUGUGUGCUUCUUUUCAUUUUGUGUUGAUAAUCAUUUUUAUUCUGUGUAUUUUACAUGUGAACUUUUUGGGAAUACCCAGAAAGUCUAAUGCAGACUAUGAAUAACAAGUGUACCUAUUUUAAAAGGUGCAGGAUAAUGUCAGGUACAUAAUAUUUCAUAAACAGAAGUUCUCAGGUUGAAUUGAAUUUGUUUUAAAAAGAAAACCCAGCUGCAAUCACCGCCCCUCCAAGAAUUAGACAUUCCAAAAAAGCAUGCUUGGAUACUUUUUAAAAAGAGCUUUUAAUCGUGUGAACUCGGCAGAUUUUAUAUGUGUGUGCAUAUGUUUAUAUGCAGUAACUUGUCCUAAGUGGCAAUUUGCUGCUUAGAGGUUUUUGCUAGAGAAAUGGUACUUGCUGGAUCAACACUGGUUUCUUCUCUUCCCUUUUCCUAUCCUCAGCUUUUUCACAUAAUUUCUUUUCUUGCCCUGUGUUUUGAAUUCUUGGCUUAAAGAUUUUAUGGUGAUGGUACUUUGCUUUCUCUUUUUGCCUUGCCCUCCAUCCUAAUUUGCAAAUAAUUUCCAUUUCUACUUAUUUGCCAGUCAGAGCUAACAAAACCCAACAACAGUAAUUUACACACGUAGGUUGUCUCUAGUGGAAUCAUAAUUCUUAACAGUAGAUUUUUUGGCUGUAGUGAUUACUAUAACGGAUUUGUUUUCAGUUUGUAAAGAAGCAAGUUGGAUGCCAGUGGAAGGAAGUUUGGUGUUCCCCAGAAAUCUUGGUGUUCAGUGCUUUUCGACGCCAUUCCUAUUCCAUAUUCUGAGGCUGGAAAAAACACUCCAUCAUCAGUAAUUUUUAUUAAUUAAAAUCUCAUAGUCUUGGAAGACUUCAUAUCCAAAUUCAGAGUAUGCACAGUGGUCAAUAAAUACUUUGGCUUCACUCCAAGCAGAGGUGAAGGAAAGGAGAUGGUCUUUCUAGGAAUGAAAGUUUAAUUGUGAAAAGGAAGCUUACGGUAUCAUGGAAGUUCUUUUUUUAAAAUCACAUUUGCUUCAUUUUAUUGGAAUUGACAAAUGUAGCUGAAAGGUACCAGUGAACCAGGGCACUUGUAGAUAUUGGAGUAAGAGGGACAAUUGAAAGAUUAUAAGUUCAAAUGAAAAUGUGGUUGUUGCAGAAAAGAUGUUGCUUUUCACACUUCAUGAGUGGGGUGGCAGACUUCUGUGCACAAGUGUCACUGAAGGGAGUGUUACCAGAAGCUUGUGAGUGUGCUCUUGUAUCUUUCCUCCUUAUUUCAAUGACCAGUUGCUUUAGAUAACAUCCUGAGCAUUUGUAUUUUGGGGGGGGGGGGGGUGCAAUUUGAGUUGCUUGAAAAGUGUACCCAGAUUUGUUCUAAACCAUACUGGAACAACACAGGUUUGCUGUUUUUAGCAGAUUUGGUUAAAACAGUAUAUCAUUUCUGAACACAUGCUUCCUUUCAAACUUGCACUAUCUUCUUAAUACCACCAUCCUCAAAUCCAGCAAAGAAUUUGUUCCACACUUAGGUAAAUCCUUACAUUUGUUUCUGUAUAUGUUACAUGUUGGGAUGUGCUAAGGUUUACAGAAUAGGCUACAAAGGCGUACAAACAGGAAGAAUGUGAGAAUUAUCUGACAGCCUUUUAAAACCAUGCAAGGAAAAUGUGAAAACAGAUGAGAAUUUCUUUAGCGCAUUCUUUCCAAAUCACAUGGGAUUGAUGGAGCAGCAAAUGUUUAGUCACACCCAUGGUUUCAACAAGGAUCCUUUCUAGGGAGCAUCCUUACCUGUGGAGAGGAAAGCAAUACCUAUUUCAGGAUUUGACCCUUUCUUCCUCUUGGAAUCCAGCCACCCCACAGCUUUGUGCUUCUGAUUUUUCCUAAGUGUAGAGUUAUGUUCAUCCCUGUUGAAGGGCAUUUUAUUCAUUUUUGCCUGGCUCUCCAAUCUGUUAUGGUCAAUUUGAAUCCCAGUGUUGUUAUCUGAGGUAUUAGUUACCCUUCCAGUUUGCUAUCAUUUGCAAAUUUGCUGAUCAUCCCCUCUGUACUUUGCAUCCUAGACAUUUAUGUGAUGGCUAAACAGCACUGGGCCCAACCCUUUGGCACUCCACAUGUUAUGUUUCACAUACACCUAAGAAUACAGUUGUCUAGCCAUAUUUUAUGAGUUUGCCCACCAAGAAUAUCAUGAGGGAACAUUUUAAAAGUCAUGCUGAAAUCAAGGUGCACUGCAUCCACAGGAUUUCCCUAAACCACUUCUUCCAAGUUACAAAACUUCCAGUCUUCUUCUUGUGUAGGCUUCUUGAUAUUACGAUUCUUGAUCCUGCUGCUUAGGGAGUGGCAGUAUUCCAGUCCUUGUCUAGCAAAAACAUUAAAAUCGUCCCUCCUGCCAGCUCAGUCCGCAAUUAUAUAACUUGCUACUUUCCAUUUUAACUAGUCUUGAUUUCCAUUGAGCUUUUUCCAUUCACUGCAGCAACAACCACUCAAUUGAUGCCCUUGAUUUGUCCCCUUUGUCCCUUAGCUCUUGCGUACUGACUGCUACUAGUUACACAGUAGUACCUCCUAACUGGUCCACCUCUAAUCAUCAUCACCACUGUAACUUGGAUAUUCUGUCUGCUAUCUUGAUGUGUCCCUGGCACACCUUAUAAAAAGAUCUUCCAUUUUUCCUUGAUCUAUGCUGUUUCUAUACAGCAUAAGUAGGUGCCUGGAAUAGUACAGAAAAGAUGUUGCCCUUUGAGGGUGUAUCAAUGCUUAACACCAGCCCCGUUUCUCAUGCCAUAUUUUUAAUAAUUUACCCUUGAGAGCAAAUUCUGGCUCAUUGCUAAGUAUCUGGCUCAUUUUAAUAGCCAGUUGAAAAUCCAUGAAUGUUUUAUAGUGUGUGUGUUUUUCCUAAGUAACAAAUAGUUCUCUUAGAACUAACAAAAACAGGGAAGUUAUAUCCAGGCUUGAUUGUAUUCAGGCUUCAUUAUUCAGUACUCUGCAAACAGGCUUUAAAGAAAAUUAAAGAACUAGGAAACACAUAUUGUCCACCCAACACACGUUAAAAUAAAUUGCAUAUUUUUUUGUUUGCAGCUAAUUUGUCUGUCAUUCCUUUAGGAAUUCCUUGCUGAUCUUCAUUACUUCCCCUCCAUGCACACAUUUUUUUCAAAAGACUCACCAUAAUUUGCCCUGAUUCAUAAUAUAUUUUGCAGAUCACUUUAAUCAUGUGUUCUUAUCUGCUUAAUUUAAGACUACAGUCUACCCUCUUUUCUGGGGACCUCCAUUGACAAAAAUAUGGUAGACUUCUGAAUAAACAUGGGUAGGAUUGUGCUGGCAGGUAAUUAAAACAGACAAUCCACUUUGGUUUUCAUUUUAAAAAAAUACUUAAGAGAGCUGAGACACUCUUUUUAAGAAUUGUAUAGAACUUCCGCCAUUGUGCAAACACACAUUUUAAUGGCUAGAUAUUGCCAGAAAAUAUUAUUUUUAUGUCACGGAUUCUGCUGUGUCCAGCAGCAGAAAAACACAAUAGGCGUCAAAUCCAUCUUUGUGUCAAGAUGUGUCAAGCAGCCAUAUCAAAUUGCUAGUUCCAACAUUAAGUAGAUUCAUUGAAUCAAUAGUAAGUUAACCCAGAAAUUCCAUUAUUUCAGUGAUUCUAAGGUGAGUGUUGGCAUCAGUCAUGUAUUAGCUUUGAGGAUACGUAAAAAUAUUUCCAGUGCUGAGUUUUGCCUCACUACCAUCCUUGUUUAAGUGAUUUUUCCACUGCAACAAGAUCGGUACAGGCAGCAGUUUACCAGAAACCAUCCACAAUCUACUUCAGUGAGAUCCUGCAGGAAGUGUAUUGCUUCAGAAUACUGUAUACUUCUCUCCACAUGCUUAGGCCUAAUUCCAAUUGCUAGUCUCAACUAGACUGCUCCCAUUAAAUCAGUGGGAAUUGACUUACUAUUCUGUCAGUCUACUUAGGGAAUAACAACUACAUUUAGGCCAUGAGUCGAAUUUUCACUGUGAAAUGUGUUGAUCUUUUGUUAGCUUUUUUGGGGGGGAGGUAUGAAAUUUCUGUUUUGUUUUGCUUUUUUGUUUUGCUUUAGCAGAAGGCUUUAGUAGAAGAAUUCUAGCAAGGGGAUAUUUUGCAGAUCUAUUUGUUUGUAUUUCCUUUUGGAUUAUGAAAAGCAUAAGUAGUGCAAAGAGUUCAUAGUACUGAAGGUAAGUAACUUUCCAUCCAUUGAAAAAGAAAAGGGAAAAAAGUCACUCGACGAGAAUGACACCAUUGAGCCUUGUGUGGUAAUAUACUCUGGAUUCAGUCUCACUCUAACUAUUUUGUAUUUUGGGUACAAAAUCAUGUUACUGUGAGUUAUUCCAUAGCUUCCAUUUUUAUUUCUUCAAUAGCCUACUACUAGAGUUGGCUAGAAAUGCAUUUUGUGAAGGCUGAACUAAUGUGGAGUAGUGGUCUGAGUGCUGGACCAUGACUCUGGAGACCAGGGUUCAAAUCCCCACUCAAUCAUGGAAGCCCACUCAGUGAUCUUGGGCAAGGCACAUUCUCUCUACUUCAGAGAAAGGCAAAGGCAAACCAUCUCUGAACAAAUCUUGCCAAGAUAGUGUUGCCUUAGGGUCACCGUAAGUCGGAAAUGACUUGAAGGCACACAACAACACACCUUAAGUGUAAUGCACUGUUUUAAAACGGAGAAGAAAGGCACUAGAACUUUUCAGUCAAGCUGUACUAGCCUUCCUGGAAUAUAACUCCCAUCAUCAUCCCAUAUAAUUUCCAUCAGCAUCCUAGCCUUCCUGGAAUAUAACUCCCAUCAUCAUCCCAUUGCCACCCAUACGGGAUUUGCCCAAAACAUUUGAAGGUUGGAGAAGGCUGAGGUACAGUCAGCCUCACAGUAACCCUUCCUGUAAUGCUCUGGGAUAUUCUUGCCUCUCCAGUGUGUGUCCAAAUAAAUACCUCAACCAUAUGCCACAGAACACAGUAGAACAGCACUACACAAAGUAAUGUAGCUUUAAAUCCCCCCUACCCACCACCAGCAAGUGGUUUGUCUGCAUCACUUCCAAAAGGGUGACAAUAGACCGUUGUUUUGAGGUUGAUUCAGCUUUGCAAAUAUGGUUUUAGCUAAGCCUGUUUGGUGCAUAUUCUUCUCAUAUAAUUUGGAUCCAUUUGUUGGACAUUAUUUGCAAAAUUAAUCUGGACAAGAGGUAGCACAGCACUUUGUUUGCCUUUACACUUGUUUUGGCACCAUGAUUGUAAACUAGGCAGUGUUUGCACAAGAGAGGGAAGAUACUGAAUGUUCAAACAUUCCAGUGCAUACCUUUUGCUUUAUAAUGAGAGCUGCCUUGGAUCCCAUCUCGGGACAAAAGCAUGGUAUAAAUACAAGAAUAAAUAAAAUAAAAGAUCCCUCACACUUAAAAUGAAAGUGUAUACGCUCUAAAAUAUCUCCUUGUAAUUUGCCAAAUAAUCUGUGCCUUUAAAACAAAUUAAGAAGAGAAAUCCUAAACAUAUCUAGGUGCUUAUGUAACUGGAGCAGUGGCUUUGCCUUCACUCCAAUACACGAUAUGUUUUCAAAUGGAUGGCAAAAGAAGAAAUCAGCAAGAAAGUAGGAGCUUGUGGAUUAAUCUCAAACAAAAAAAGGUGGCUGGUACUGGGUUGCCAGUAUAACUGCCAUUAAUCUAUCAUUAAGGCUUUUCUGCAGGUGUUCCAAGCAGGCUGCUCCCAGUCUUUUCUUUUCAAAUGAGUUAUAAGAAACACACAAAUGUAUAUAUGCAUAUCCAGCAUGCAUACAUGUAUCCCCAAUUUAUAUAAUUAAAUUGGAAAAAAUAAACUGUUCCAGUUAAAGUAGAAGUACAUCCAGAACUGAUAUGUCUCUCCUUUUAAGUAAUUUUGUAAAAGAUUGUAUCAUGAGGAGGGGAGUGGCUUAAUUCUAACUAGUUUGUGAUCGGUGGAAUAGGAGAGAGCAGUUACAUUUUUAACCACAAAAAGCAUAUAGCCCCAAGGUUGGUGACAUUUUUAUUUAGAGAGGUAUCAGAUUUGCUUGAAAUAUUUGGACUUCUUAAUAAUAUGGCAACCUAUCAAACCAGCUUGUGUGUGUUAACAUAUUUUAGGUGAUCUGCAGGCUGAAAACGUAAUCUGUAGGUGGAAAAUGUCAAAAUAGCUAAGAAACAGUAGUAGAUGGACUAACAUGCUGAAGUUGCAUCUUGUGUAUCUGUACCCUGAUCAUCUUUGUUGUUUCUAUAACUCACACAUAUGAGAGUUGCCUGUGCAGUACAUUGUUUAGAAAUUUCUGCUGUUUUGAUGAAGAGAAUAGGCAAAUCAGGUUUGUAGCUGGUCUGACUCAUUUCUGCUCCCUACAUGUUGAUAUGACAUUCUUGUUCUUCAUUUGGAAUGAUACCUAUGUGGGAUUAAAUUUAUGAUUUAAGAUUUCAUAGUUUACAAAUGUUUGAGUACCAGCAGGCCGGGAAAUGUCUUGCGAUAGCAAAAUGAACUUUGUGUAGUAUAAUACUAUAUAUGUUUGUUCAGAAGUAAGUACCACUAUGUUUAGUUGGGUCUUCUUCCAGAGAUGUGUGCAUAGGAUCUCAGCUUUGAUUGUGUGUAUUUCAUUCCUGUUCUAGCAGCUGGAAGGAGUUUAAGUAGUUCGAUCCUGCCUGGGCAGUUAGUUUGCAGUUGCUAACACAGUCAUGUCAGUUUAUCUCCUUCAGCUUCUGAUUACCAAUCCUUACUCUUGGAACUGUAUACUCUGUUAGAAUUACUCAACUUUUCUCUUUCUGAACUAGGAAAAUCCCAAGGUGACUUUGGGUGCUACUAUGGAUACUUUCAUUUUACAAAUUCCCUAUUACAUUAGUCUGUGCUCAUGUUUGGUUUAUUCUUCCACUUGUUGUCUGUUUUUGUUUUUGUUUUUAUUCUUCCAUCUGUUUGGGAAUUUCACAAGAACAGACUUCCCACCAAAUGUGUUGAACUGCAAUUCCCAGGGGGUUAUCAGAGUUGGAGUCCAUCGCAUUUGGAGACCACUAGUUUGAGGAAGGCUGUAUUUAAAUGCUGGAAACAUUUGUCCAGGCAGACAUCAAAAUGGAGGGAGACAAAGAGGACCAAUGGGGCGAGGGAGCGUGGGAACAGUUGUUUGGCUUGAGUGUAGGGCUAAGUUUAAAUAAUGCUUUACUUAAAUGAUACAUCAUAGUUGCAAUACAUGUACUUUGAAAUUCAAAACUGUGAAUGGUUAAGAGAAAUACACCUCAUUCUGUCUAUACAGUAUCCUCUUCCUUUUUUUACUGUCACUAAAACAUUGCAAUGACUUAAGUAAUCUUGCCCCAUGGCAACUUCACAUCUUCAGCUGACAUAACCAAAAUGCUAUAAGCUUACUUUAGCCCUAAGCUAUAUCUUUGUUUAUAAUGUGGAUUCCAAACUACACAAAAAGUCUUACUAUAUGAAAACUUUUUUAUCCACUACACACUCCCCAGAUACCUCCCACACCAUGUGACUGAUGGAGACUAAUGUUGGAGAUACCCAGUUGGAAGCUAAUUCUCCUCCCCAUUUGUAUCAGGAUACAAGAAUAGAUCAUGAUAUUAGAAUGGAAUGCUAAUUCAAAACUGAGCACUACUUGCCCUGUCACUGGACUGCAAUAGCCCUUCUAGCCUGAGUGGGAAGUUUUGUUUGUGUAACCAGCACCUCACCUGGCUACUAGGGACCAGUGAAGGACAAAAAGUUUGCUUCCAAGCAAGCAACAGAAAAGUCAGCUUGCUUGUUUUCUGUUAUGAUUGAAAUAAACAGCCGCUUGCCCUUUGCUUCACUUUUUAAAAGAGUUUGUAACCUCAUGGGUUUGUUACAUGGACUUUCUGUCCUCUCAACCAUGCUAUAUCUCUUUGGUUAGCUAGGCGUAAUUGUACUAGCUGGUCAGUCUGUCCAUUGCAAUAGGUUAUUUUAAUAUAACAUGAGUCACCACCUGCAAACUGGUUAUGACUUCAGGGACUUGCUGUAAUCAGAGAGUAUACAGUUCCUCACAGUGGUCUUUCUCUGCUGUAUAGAAGCUUGAAUCCUGUAGUUAUGCCUUGCAAGCAUACCAGGUGAAUAGAUAGACGAGAUUGUUGAAGCACUGAGGGGGGAGGAGGGUGUUACUAAUGCAAACUCAUUGCUGUUUCCCCCUCCCCAGUAUUCUUUGAAACGAUGAACAGUCUAUGGGUAGAAUUUGACAACCCUAAACGGCCAAAUCCUGUGGACAUAAUUGCAAAAGGCAGCCAACAGAAAGGUUUGAGAUUAUUCCAGAAAAUUGCUGAAAAGGAGAAAUGUGUAUAGUUUUUUUUUAAUUGCUGGGACGAGAUAUAUAUACUGAACCCAACAUUCCUUCAAGCUGUAUUUACCACCAGUAUCUACAAGUCUGGAAUUUCACAAGUCUAUUUUUCCUUCAGAUGAGAAUUGAUAUUGCUACCUACUUUUUAAAAAGAAUGACAAACAAGAACCUAAAUGUUUCAGGACCUGAACUUUAUUUCUAAUUCACAGGGAAUUUUGUUUUCAGCUUUCCGUUUCAUGAAUCACUGUAGCUUUUUCUCCCUGCCUCCAAAUCUUUCCUUCUCCAUAACUCCUCACCAUAAAUGUUUAAUCACACCAGUUUCAGUUUUUUUCUUCUCCUGGUAUGUCUUUUAGCCUGGAUUCCCUUCAUUUGUAUUUGAGCAUUUUCUCUCAUGUAAAUUUGUACAGUGGGAAAUAUUGUCCAGUUUGGUUUAGGGAGCAUGGAGACAUAAAAUAAAAGUUUGAUAGCUAAAAAUUGAGAUUGAAGAAUUAUUUGUGUAAAGUUAUUUAAAGAACUCUGUAUUAUAUAAAAGGUUUAAAAGUUCUAUGUAUUUGAUGUGAAUACUGCUAUAAUAAAGAUUGACUGCAUGGAGAACAGUCUGUCUGUGUAUGCAUUAGUGAAAUCAUUGCUAAAUUACAGACUUCAAAGAACAGAAUGAAAGCAAGAAUUAUAUUGAAUC
Sceloporus undulatus (fence lizard) is the source of this 12812-nucleotide RNA transcript. It is a transcript of the gene named B-Raf proto-oncogene, serine/threonine kinase, with no coding region annotated. The record is from RefSeq and is a predicted model, not a curated record. Lineage: Eukaryota; Metazoa; Chordata; Lepidosauria; Squamata; Phrynosomatidae. The transcript is spliced from 20 exons.